GAAUUUUCUGAAUGUUCGGAUAAAUUUUCAGAAAAUUCAUCCAUAUUGGGGGAUUUUUCUGAAUGUGAAGUGUCCGGUUUGGCUGAUGCCGGUUGGUGGUGGGGUUGGAAAAUACGAGG
This 119-nucleotide non-coding RNA is filed under the name uncultured eukaryote. The record is from RNAcentral.